UGCACUGCUCUCAUAUGGUGGUUACAGCUGAUAACGCCGUCUCCGACCAACGCCACCUUCAGGUUCCCCCCACCAGGUGAAUUCCAGGCUUCAGAGGAGAGUGCUGGUCCAACAAAAAUAGACCUGAUGAUUGAAGAUAGCAGAGCAGAUAAAAGAACUGCAAGAGAGAUGGAAGCAGAAAUAUAUCCAGCGGACGUUUGGGGAGUGUCCUGGCUCCACGUUCAUACUGUACCGUACAGUCUGGAUGUUCUUUCGUCACAUACAUUCUGGAUCUGAUAGGAACUGGACUCCAAACAUCAGGGCGGUUCUCCUGUAGAAGUUUCUGCCGUCAUUGUACUCCUCCUGCUCCCAUAAAGACAGUAUUGAUGGGAGGCAGCGAAGACACCAGGUCCUGCACCUCUGAGGAUGACGGCACCCGCUGCUGAGAAAGCAGUGCAUCCUGGGAGGUGAACGGAGAGAUUUAAACCUGACCUCCUCCGGUUUCGGCCUCGGUGAAAUACGCUCCUGUCGUUUUCCUUCCCGGUUCGUCCAGGAUGUUGAGGGGAUCGUGGACUUCAGAGUACGCUGAAGGGAACGGGCGCAGGCUGCCUACCGUGCUGAUGACGGACACGUGCUGGUCAACCAGUGAUGUCAUGCGCUGGCUGUCCAGCAGGUUCUGCAGGUCCUGCUCCUUGUCGUUGUUGAACUGAGUCUCCAGAGCCAACAGGAUGUAUUCGUCCAACAGCAUCCGGAUCAGAUGGAAGGAACCUGUCAGAGUCGACGAUGAGAAAAGAGAGAAUUAUACCUAAAAAAUAUGAGUCUGACCUUUAGGAUCAAGCUGCUCUUUGUUUGACCUGCGGGGUCGUGUGUGUUUGAGCUUCCCCGGGACUCUUCAGACCAAAUGGGAUGAAACAAAGUGGCGUGCUAUGGGGAGCUUCUUGGCUGCAAGGCAUUCUGGGAGGUUCUCCAGGGAGGAGGCUAACCAGUGCUCCCAGUGUUUGGCAAAGUUGCGGAUAUCUGCCAACAGACUGAUAAAUAAUAUACAGAUCUCUUAUCAAUUCCCAAUUGAUUAAUUAAAGCUUUCAUCUCUUUUUAUAUUAUUGUAGUUCUAAAUAACUGUUUUGGGGUAGAUUGCACUUAAAACCUGCAUCCUCGUCUCUACAGUAAAGAAAAUGGGUAAAAUUGUCAUGACUGAUGGGAAUAAUGGCCAAACCUCCAACAUUAAGAUCCAGGCAUCACAAACUGGGCUAAAGCUUUCUGUCAAUCAGGAAAAUUACUUCCAACAUGUCUUAUCUUUUCUAGGCUAUGGAAGGGUUUUAUGGGGGUUUAUGGGAAAUAAUUCCCAUUCUUACUUUUUUUUCACCAGCAACUGAUUUGACAAUAAUACAUGAAGUGCAAAUGAAGUAACAAACCUUUCAGGCAUCUCCUGCAUUGUAGCUGGAAUCAGAACAUCUGUUAAAACCUGAGAGAAUAAAAAAAAACAUUAUGAUAAACCAGGCGGCAAUCCGGGUCUGAAAAGUGAAGCCAAUGUGCCUUAAACUUGCAUUAU
Sebastes umbrosus (honeycomb rockfish) is the source of this 1528-nucleotide long non-coding RNA. RefSeq lists it as uncharacterized. The transcript is spliced from 7 exons. The record is from RefSeq and is a predicted model, not a curated record. Lineage: Eukaryota; Metazoa; Chordata; Actinopteri; Perciformes; Sebastidae.